UUGGGCGUAAAGCGCGCNCAGGCGGAUUGGUCAGUCUGUCUUAAAAGUUCGGGGCUUAACCCCGUGAUGGGAUGGAAACUGCCANUCUAGAGUAUCGGAGAGGAAAGUGGAAUUCCUAGUGUAGCGGUGAAAUGCGUAGAUAUUAGGAAGAACACCAGUGGCGAAGGCGACUUUCUGGACGAAAACUGACGCUGAGGCGCGAAAGCCAGGGGAGCGAACGGGAUUAGAUACCCCGGUAGUCCUGNCCGUAAACGAUGGGUACUAGGUGUAGGAGGUAUCGACCCNUUCUGUGCCGGAGUUAACGCAAUAAGUACCCCGCCUGGGGAGUACGACCGCAAGGUUGAAACUCAAAGGAAUUGACGGGGGCCCGCACAAGCGGUGGAGUAUGUGGUUUAAUUCGACGCAACGCGAAGAACCUUACCAGGUCUUGACAUUGAUGGACAGAACUAGAGAUAGUUCCUCUUCUUCGGAAGCCAGAAAACAGGUGGUGCACGGUUGUCGUCAGCUCGUGUCGUGAGAUGUUGGGUUAAGUCCCGCAACGAGCGCAACCCCUAUCUUAUGUUGCCAGCACUCCGGGUGGGAACUCAUGAGAGACUGCCGCAGACAAUGCGGAGGAAGGCGGGGAUGACGUCAAAUCAUCAUGCCCCUUAUGACCUGGGCUACACACGUACUACAAUGGGAGUUAAUAGACGGAAGCGAAACCGCGAGGUGGAGCAAACCCGAGAAACACUCUCUCAGUUCGGAUCGUAGGCUGCAACUC
This 760-nucleotide ribosomal RNA is filed under the name uncultured bacterium. Its description in RNAcentral is "bacterial SSU rRNA". It matches the Rfam family "Bacterial small subunit ribosomal RNA", at positions 554 to 1313 of the family's 1533-position model. The record is from RNAcentral.